This is a long non-coding RNA of Oreochromis niloticus (Nile tilapia), 1565 nucleotides long. The record is from Ensembl. Lineage: Eukaryota; Metazoa; Chordata; Actinopteri; Cichliformes; Cichlidae.
CUUCGGUGAAGUCUGCUGUCAAGUUACUGGACACGUGGUAUUUGCACAACACUUCUGAAUCCGCAGCUUCGGUGUUUUAAGGCUGUUUCGGUAAUGUCGUUAUUUAAUAAGUUACAUUAUUUGCAUUGUUAACUGCACAUAUUGAAGCUCAGAAGAAAAUGUUUACUUACAUUCGUAGAUAUGGAGAAGAAGUGGGAAGAGAUUUACGCGUUUAUUUCUGUGGGCUCCUACCCUUCAGGAUAUGACAAGGCUCAGAGGCAAAACCUCAGAAGAUAUGCCUCAAAAUUCCAACAAAAGGAUGGAGAACUCUUUGUUGGAACCAGAAAAGUAGUAAAAACCAUGGAUGAUGCCAGGAAGAUAUUUCAUGAGUUUCAUUCAUCUCCAAUUGGAGGACACACUGGCACACACAAAACGCUAAAUGCAGUGUGUUCCAGAUUUUACUGGUUUGGUAUGACAGUUGACAUUAAAACAUGGGUAUGUAUUAACUGUUUGCAUUGUUGUUAAAUGCCGUUUAGAAUAAGAAUUUUUUUUUUAAUAUCAGUUAAAAGAGAAACUGUACACUUGCAAAAUAUAAAUAAAUAUGGUUAAUUAGUGAUAUUACAGUAAUAACCUGUAGGCCUGGCAGAGAUUUGAAGACACACACAAAGUUUUGUUGCUAAAUUGUUUGUUCGUUAGAGAAUAUAUCAAUGAUUUUUUUUUUUUUUUUUUUUUUAUAAAUGAGAAUGUUGAACAUUUACGUGAAUUCCAUAAAUAUUUUUACCUUAAAGAUUCUGGAAUGUGACCAGUGUCAAAAAGUUGGGAAACCACUGACUGCUGUGCAACCGUUGCAGUGUAUUCAGGUAAAUAUUAUGCCCCUUUUACCCAUCAAACUAUGCUUCUAGCUCAUAUUCAUGAAGGCAGGAGGGUUUGCCAACUAAUUUUAACCAUCGAUGUUAAUGUGUACAUUAUACAAAUUGUUAUUCAAAUUAUUAAUUUGUCCUUGAUAGGUGUCUGAAGUGUGGGAACUUAUUGGUAUAGAUCUUACUGGACCUCUUCCUAAAACGUCAAGCGGCUUUCCAGUAUAUACUGACUGCAACUGACUACUUUUCAAAAUGGGUUGAAGCUUUCCCAUUAAAAACGAAAUCUGCAUCUGAGGUAGCCCAGCACUUGUGCUCCAUUAUAUAUAUAGACAUGGCUGCCCCAAAAGGAUUUUGUCAGACCAAGGCAGAGAGUUUGUGAAUGAAGUAAGUGUUAAAUAAUUUUCAGUUACAUUUUUUAACUUUACUUCACUGGGGUCAAAGAUUUUUUCUUGUGUGCUUGUAUAAGAAGUAUAAGAACCUUGUCCUUAUCUGUUGAAGCUCAACUCUGAUCUUUGCAAGUUAUUGCAAAUUGAAAGAAGUGUCACAGCAGCAUACCAUCCACAGACCAAUGGUCUAGAUGAAAAGACCAAUGACAACAUAAAAAGGUAUGCCUAAUUUUUAUCUAUCAGUUUUUAAUAACAUUACUUAUGUUAUUCAAACUUAAUUGUUACUUAAUAAUUUAUUAUUUCUUUACUUCUAAUUAAACUUUCAUUACUGUCUUUACAU